CUACGGGAGGCAGCAGUGAGGAAUAUUGCACAAUGGGGGAAACCCUGAUGCAGCAACGCCGCGUGGAGGAUGACGCAUUUCGGUGUGUAAACUCCUUUUAUCAGAGAAGAAAAUGACGGUAUCUGAUGAAUAAGCUCCGGCUAACUCCGUGCCAGCAGCCGCGGUAAUACGGAGGGAGCAAGCGUUAUUCGGAAUCACUGGGCGUAAAGGACGCGUAGGCGGGUUAUUAAGUCAGGUGUGAAAUCCAAUGGCUCAACCAUUGAACUGCACUUGAAACUGGUAACCUAGAGUAUGGAAGGGGCAGAUGGAAUUAGUGGUGUAGGGGUAAAAUCCGUAGAUAUCACUAGGAAUACCGAAAGCGAAGGCGAUCUGCUGGGACAUUACUGACGCUGAGGCGUGAAAGCGUGGGGAGCAAACAGGAUUAGAUACCCCCGUAGUC
This 439-nucleotide ribosomal RNA is filed under the name uncultured bacterium. RNAcentral's name for it is "partial 16S ribosomal RNA". It matches the Rfam family "Bacterial small subunit ribosomal RNA", at positions 339 to 795 of the family's 1533-position model. The record is from RNAcentral.